UGAAAUAUAGCUCAGUGAUAUAGCAUUUGUCUAGCAUGCAUAAGGCAUUGGUUCAGUCCCUAUUAUCACAC
This 71-nucleotide transfer RNA is filed under the name Cricetulus griseus (Chinese hamster). It matches the Rfam family "tRNA". From Rfam's summary of the family: Transfer RNA (tRNA) molecules are approximately 80 nucleotides in length. Their secondary structure includes four short double-helical elements and three loops (D, anti-codon, and T loops). The record is from Rfam by way of RNAcentral. Lineage: Eukaryota; Metazoa; Chordata; Mammalia; Rodentia; Cricetidae.